GACAGAGGUGGCGAGCGUUGUUCGGAAUCACUGGGCUUAAAGGGCGAGUAGGCGGUGGAGCAAGUCUGAGGUGGAAUCCUACGGCUUAACCGUAGAACUGCCUUAGAAACUGUUUUACUUGAGUCAGUGAGGGGAGGGCGGAAUUCCUGGUGUAGCGGUGAAAUGCGUAGAUAUCAGGAGGAAGGCCUGUGGCGAAAGUGGCCCUCUGGCACUGUACUGACGCUGAGGCGCGAAAGCGUGGGGAGCAAACAGG
Molecule: ribosomal RNA, 253 nt
Filed under: uncultured bacterium
Lineage: Bacteria
Description: partial 16S ribosomal RNA
Rfam family: Bacterial small subunit ribosomal RNA
Source: RNAcentral